GCCAAUGAGGAUAUAAUCCACUUUGGAUGAGGUGCAGUGGAGCCAUGUCCCUGUUUAUCAGGGAGAACCUACUUGGCAGAAGCUGCAAUUCACUGAUAUUAAUGGGUUCUACUGAGGC
Corchorus olitorius is the source of this 118-nucleotide non-coding RNA. The record is from Rfam. Lineage: Eukaryota; Viridiplantae; Streptophyta; Magnoliopsida; Malvales; Malvaceae.